UUUUUCCCUGUCGUAGAUGAACAUGUCGAGGUAAAACAAAAAGGACCCUAGUCUCUCUCAAACGAGCCCACCGCCGUAUCUCCACCGACUGCGUGUUUUCCGGCAUUGUUGGUCCUCCGGUGUUCAUCUGGGCGACGAUUGAAGACUGAAUCAAUAGGUACGUUGCUGUACUCUUUUUUGUGAUUGAAAUUAUGUCUUUUUCUCAUCUCAAGUCACAAUUUUUGUUACUCGUUUAGAAAUUUGCGUUCAUAUAAACAAAAAUUAGAUUUGAGACUUGUAGAUCGAUGUGAAUCUUUUUGUUCUCUCGAUUUAGUUGCAAGUCACAAUUUCAAUUUGCAUGUAGAGUUGUUAAUAUCUUUGAAUUCGUGAAACUCGAUUAAAGGUUUCAAUUUGGUGAGUUUUAAAAUUCCAAAUUUAAAUUGAAUGUAGAUUGAAUAAGUCUUUCGCUCUUUGAUUCCAAAUUACAAUCGAAGUGAUCUUUUUGUUCUCUUUUUGAUCUGUUUAGUCCACUAUUUGUGUGUGUGUGUGUCGUGAGUAGCUCAAGUACGUGUCUUGUUUUUUUUAUUAGUUAUAGGUUUUGUCUCUUGUAAAUCUUCUACAUCUAAGUCAAUUGUAAAUCUUUUUAGCUAAAGCCAUCCACAUAUCGUCAUUGGAAAUAUUUCAAUUGCAUGUAGAUUGAUUAAGUCUUCUAUCUCUUUGAUUCAUGUUAAUGUAUAUGUGUUUGUGUUGGAAUUCAUUGAUCCUUCUUGAGCUGUUUAGAUAUUUGAUUUUAAACUCUCAGCUCUUAAGUUUAUGAAAUUAGAAUUCUUUUGUGAUCCUUCUUGAGCUGUUUAGAUAUUUGAUUUUAAACUCUCAGCUCUUAAAUUUUGACAUUGUGAAGCUCUUAGGUUUAUUUUAAUAUCAAGUGUUUUGUCUCUUAAUAACUUUCAAUAUUUGAUAAAGCUAGUUUGUUCUCUAUUUUCAGGUUUUGGAUCUACAUUACAUCAAAGGUUAUCAAUGGAAAACAAUCUAGGAAGCAUGAGUAAGACAUCAGGUUCUUUAACAUACUAAUUUUUGUUUGCUAACUGCAACUAUGCACUAUAAUUAGUCAUCACUGUGAAUGGUUUUAUUUACAUAUGUUUGUUUUUUAUGUGCAGCCACUACUAAGGAGUUUCCCAAGCGCCUUUUCGGACAUGGUAAAGAGCCUGAACUUGAGAAAAUUAACAACAGCUGCAGAUUAUCGAUACUUAGGAAAAUCAAAGAUGCUUUGCCACAUUGAGUGUCAUAUGCUUAAUCUAAGCAUGGAUUUGAUAAACGAUAGGAACAUCAAAGAGGCGCGCAUGAAGAUUGAUGUAGACCUUUGGGAGGCUGCUCAUGAUCCUAUCUUAAUUGAGCGAAUGGAGAACUAUAAACCUCCACAUCAAUUGUCGGAUAUCCUUGAAAUUGAUUGAGAUUAAUUAGCAUUAUGGUUUUUUUUUAUCGUGCAAACAGAUUAUGUACUAGUCUUGCGACAUGUAGUUUGUAUGACCUUUGUUUUUUUUUCCUAAUUAUUUAGGCAUUUUAUGAAAGUAAGUUUCUUGAGUUCGUCUCUAAUAUCUCCUUUUAGCUCGAGCAAGAUGAUUUUUUGUUCUCCACUCUUGUGCUUAUCUGUUUUAUACGUGUUCUACUCAUGUAUAAUUUGAUCCAUUACAAACUUGAUUAUGAACACAAACAUUAGAGACGAACUCAAUAACAAAAAAUGAUCAUAAGUAGA
This 1732-nucleotide long non-coding RNA is filed under the name Arabidopsis lyrata. RNAcentral describes it as "long non-coding RNA (ALYR_LNC003181)". The record is from RNAcentral. Lineage: Eukaryota; Viridiplantae; Streptophyta; Magnoliopsida; Brassicales; Brassicaceae.